CGUAGGGUGCGAGCGUUAAUCGGAAUUACUGGGCGUAAAGCGUGCGCAGGCGGUUAUAUAAGACAGAUGUGAAAUCCCCGGGCUCAACCUGGGAACUGCAUUUGUGACUGUAUAGCUAGAGUACGGCAGAGGGGGAUGGAAUUCCGCGUGUAGCAGUGAAAUGCGUAGAUAUGCGGAGGAACACCGAUGGCGAAGGCAAUCCCCUGGGCCUGUACUGACGCUCAUGCACGAAAGCGUGGGGAGCAAACAGGAUUAGAUACCCUGGUAGUCCACGCCCUAAACGAUGUCAACUGGUUGCUGGGUCUUCACUGACUCAGUAACGAAGCUAACGCGUGAAGUUGACCGCCUGGGGAGUACGGCCGCAAGGUUG
This 370-nucleotide ribosomal RNA is filed under the name uncultured organism. RNAcentral's name for it is "bacterial SSU rRNA". It matches the Rfam family "Bacterial small subunit ribosomal RNA", at positions 526 to 896 of the family's 1533-position model. The record is from RNAcentral.